Molecule: ribosomal RNA, 464 nt
Filed under: uncultured Klebsiella sp.
Lineage: Bacteria; Pseudomonadati; Pseudomonadota; Gammaproteobacteria; Enterobacterales; Enterobacteriaceae
Description: bacterial SSU rRNA
Rfam family: Bacterial small subunit ribosomal RNA
Source: RNAcentral
CCUACGGGUGGCUGCAGUGGGGAAUAUUGCACAAUGGGCGCAAGCCUGAUGCAGCCAUGCCGCGUGUGUGAAGAAGGCCUUCGGGUUGUAAAGCACUUUCAGCGGGGAGGAAGGCGUUAAGGUUAAUAACCUUGGCGAUUGACGUUACCCGCAGAAGAAGCACCGGCUAACUCCGUGCCAGCAGCCGCGGUAAUACGGAGGGUGCAAGCGUUAAUCGGAAUUACUGGGCGUAAAGCGCACGCAGGCGGUCUGUCAAGUCGGAUGUGAAAUCCCCGGGCUCAACCUGGGAACUGCAUUCGAAACUGGCAGGCUAGAGUCUUGUAGAGGGGGGUAGAAUUCCGGGUGUAGCGGUGAAAUGCGUAGAGAUCUGGAGGAAUACCGGUGGCGAAGGCGGCCCCCUGGACAAAGACUGACGCUCAGGUGCGAAAGCGUGGGGAGCAAACAGGAUUAGAUACCCGGUAGUC